Molecule: ribosomal RNA, 631 nt
Filed under: uncultured organism
Description: bacterial SSU rRNA
Rfam family: Bacterial small subunit ribosomal RNA
Source: RNAcentral
ACCCUGGUAGUCCACGCUGUAAACGAUGAUCACUCGUUGUUGGCAAUACACCGUCAGCGACUGACCGAAAGCAUUAAGUGAUCCACCUGGGGAGUACGACCGCAAGGUUGAAACUCAAAGGAAUUGACGGGGGCCCGCACAAGCGGAGGAACAUGUGGUUUAAUUCGAUGAUACGCGAGGAACCUUACCUGGGCUUAAAUGUAGAACGACGGACCGGGAAACUGGUCUUUCUUCGGACGGUCUGCAAGGUGCUGCAUGGCUGUCGUCAGCUCGUGCCGUGAGGUGUCGGGUUAAGUCCCAUAACGAGCGCAACCCUCAUCAUUAGUUGCCAGCGGGUAAUGCCGGGGACUCUAAUGAAACUGCCGGUGUCCCCCGAGAGGAAGGUGGGGAUGACGUCAAGUCAGCACGGCCCUUAUGUCCAGGGCUACACACGUGUUACAAUGGUCGGUACAAAGGGCAGCUACCUGGCGACAGGAUGCUAAUCUCGAAAACCGAUCUCAGUUCGGAUCGAAGUCUGCAACUCGACUUCGUGAAGCUGGAUUCGCUAGUAAUCGCGCAUCACCCAUGGCGCGCUGAAUACGUUCCCGGGCAUUGUACACACCGCCCGUCAAGCCAUGGAAGCUGGGGGUAC